Molecule: long non-coding RNA, 1436 nt
Organism: Pollicipes pollicipes
Lineage: Eukaryota; Metazoa; Arthropoda; Thecostraca; Pollicipedomorpha; Pollicipedidae
Exons: 2
Source: RefSeq, a predicted model, not a curated record
GAUCCCUGCUGGUCUGACCUAAUAUUCCUGCCUCCUUGUGGUUCUUGGUAUGCCAGCUGGCAAACUAGCUGGUUGUGCUUUGUGCAUAAUGUCUGUGGACAUUACUGGGCAGUGCACUUAGCUAACAUACUUCGCUAUGUUUCAGACGUAUAGCAUCUCAACAAAAGAUAGAAGAUGCCGGUGUUGAGGAAAGGUGACUGUUUUCAUUCCUUUAAUGAGCUAGAUGCCCAUAUCCGUGAAUUGGAGGCCGAGACGAAUGUGAAGUUUUUCAAGUCGUGCUCUGUCACUCUUGGUAAAUUUCUUCAGACAAAUCCUGGGCACUUUAUUUCAAAGUUGAUCGCUGACCGUGCUGACAAGGAGGCGCUUUUGCAGCAGAAAAAGUACCGUCUCGUUAAAUUUUCAUGCACUCAUGGUGGGCGCCAGUACGAAAGCAAAGCUGGUGAUCGUCGUGUCCGAAACACGAGAACCAAAAAAGUCGGCUGUCCCGUAAGCAUCCUAGUGUUUCUGGAAAAGUCAUUGCGUUUGGAGAUUAGGGACAUCUCACUGGAGCAUUCCCACUCGGUGUCGAAGGCAAGCUUUCUGCUGCAGCCAGAAAAUCGUCGCCUGCCUGCGUCCUAAAGGCAGCGUCACCACAGUCGUGGGAUCAGCAAAGAAAUAAGAGUACUAAACAGCAGCGGUGGAUGGUGGGAGCGCUGGAUUACACCGUCCACGUACCCGGCUUUAAACCCGCCAUCAUCAUGCACCGCGUGGUCACGGUGUUCCAUGAAUUUGACAUAGCUUCGUUCAUCGGAAACGCCUUGACUUCCCGGAUACCUAUAGAGCUCUUAGGCUUCUUCUAUUGUAGAGAACAGGCUCGAUAUCUAUAUUCGUUUGCAUGUCAUGAUGUGAAUAGCUAGUUUGCCAAGGUACAUCUUCAUGUACAUAUAUGAGUAUUGCAAGCCCAUCCAGAGACUCUGAAAGGCUGAAAGCGUUUCCGACUAUCUGUGUUGAUUGUUUCCAAACUGGAUAAGCUUUGUUAAAUAUCACCGCUCACCAAGCAAUGGUUGCUUACGUCCAACCUGCUGCGUCCCUGGAUGUCCUUGCACUAUCUCCUCACUAGUCGAGAUGAACGUUGAGCGAGCUUAGAUCUGUCGUGUACCUGAACUAAGUAGCAGAAGUGAACUAAGUAGCCUCGUCAACUGUCUGAUGCGUUCUUCGUCGACAGUUCCACAUAUGCGAGAACUGAGUGGGUAGUUAUACACUUCCCCAUGCGAGGAAGACGCAUACAAAAGUAUGUACAAGUUUGUUUUGUGCUAGUUUAACCAGUGACCGCUAGGGAGAAUGUGUUUUUAAAAAUACCAACAUGAGAGUAUUGCUUUGGCUACUCAUUCAAUGUGUCGGGCCGCUGUUAUAUAACUGCUUAGUGCGCUCAACAAUUCUCAGCCAUGGUUGUUAUU